RNAcentral lists this non-coding RNA (1456 nucleotides) under Ustilago vetiveriae. The record is from RNAcentral. Lineage: Eukaryota; Fungi; Basidiomycota; Ustilaginomycetes; Ustilaginales; Ustilaginaceae.
CGCCGAUGACAGAUGUUAGCCCUGCUUUGACCACCCACCGUCUUUCUUCACCUCCUGCGAUAGUGCUGUUUGACAGCACCGACCAGUCCAAGCACGUCCCGCCUCUCGAGCAGGACCAUACACACCCGCAUACCGUGGCAGAAUACAGGACAAAUGCAGCAUUCAACCCGUCUUCGAUCUUGCGCCCGCCUUUCCCGCGUCACCUCUUGCACACACGUCUGCCUUGACGCAAAGCUUUUUUGCGAUUUCUGCUCCUGUCUCUCUUCUGGGUUUUCCAAAUUCGGAUCCUACCUUGACUAGGCCUUGCUUUUCGGCAGGGCUGUGUCGGUGUGGAGCGAAUGGUACAGCGGAGAUCUUGACGGGAGCUGGUAGAGGGCGGUACUCGUUGUCGAGAGAACGGUCGAGGGGGAGAGGUAGCCUAUAUUCAGGCUUUAAAGUUUAGGUGCUCGACGAUCCUAACCCUAAGUUGUCUACAAAGCAGAGAUGAUACGAGGCUUGCGCAAACAGAGCAUUUGCUUUGGAUUGCCGAGGUUCUCUUUGGAAAGGGACGUCCGUGUGAUGGACGCGUUCUUUUUGCCUCUGUUGCUUUUUCUUUUCUCGAUUCUCUCUUUCGACCAUCAGGUCUCUUUGAUAUGUAUGCUUUUCAAGCAUGGAUAUUUGUGAUGAUGGGGGUUACGCGGAGAGAAUCGGCGAAAUCAUUUCUAGGAAGUAUAAUCUAUCUUUUGCGAUAGAAGCAGCCUUUCUCUUGCUUUUCUUUUCUUCAGUCCUCUGAGGAAAGAGAGGGAGGGGAAGGGGAGGCGGUUUUGGUUUUUGUUCGGUUUCUUCUUUUCCAAAAUUGCUGUCUUAAGGCGCAAAAAAACGAAGAACGAAUGCCCGUUUGGUUUCUGGUUUCUGCGAUUGUAUGGUUCAAGGUGACGGAUGUUUUGCGAGGAGAAGAAAGACCGAUGGGGGUUACAAACAGAAGGCGAAAGCUUCUCGAGGCGCGAUACUGGUUCUUUCCAGCCCACCUUUACUUUUCCUUUCUGUUUGCUCUCUCUCCUUUCUUUCCACCCUUCUUUCAGCUUGUAAAGCAUGAUUUCGAGACUUCGAGGAAAGAAUUCCCAGAGUGGGGAAGGAACGAUCUUGCGUUUCCAACAGCUCUACGGAGUGAUUUUCGCUUUCUUCCAUGGUGAUGUUUCCUUUUCGUUUUCGACUCUCGCUCGGCUCUUCAGAUCCUGGCCGAGAACUUGGUUCUGGAUCUUUAGAGCUGCAUUGGGGGGGAAAAAAUGGAGGAUACUCUCCUGGGAAAAAGUCGGUUGGGUAUAGAGCUUCGUUUGCUCGCCUCUUGAUCUUUCCUUCUCCCCCUCUCGAGAACCAUACUCAUGUCGACCCACACGUGGGGGUGUAGAAAGUGAGAGUUGCGAGAAAGUCGGGCAAGUACAGGUGGUAUAGUGCAAUUUUUCUCUCUCUUUCAGGA